Molecule: long non-coding RNA, 1720 nt
Filed under: Salmo salar (Atlantic salmon)
Lineage: Eukaryota; Metazoa; Chordata; Actinopteri; Salmoniformes; Salmonidae
Description: lncRNA (ENSSSAG00000118272.1)
Source: RNAcentral
GUAAGAAAACACAAGUUACAGGGACUUAAAUGAGUCCGAAAGGUUCUGCCUUCUAAUACGCAGUUCGUCACUCUGUAGUCAAUGAUAUGAAUGGACUUCAACAACUGUUCUAUGGGUUCAACCAGGUGAUGUAGUGAGAGAAAGAGCUGUUCUAUGGGUUCAACCAGGUGAUAGUUGAGAGAAAGAGCUGUUCUAUGGGUUCAACCAGGUGAUAGUUGAGAGAAAUAGCUGUUCUAUGGGUUCAACCAAGUGAUAGUUGAGAGAAAUAGCUGUUCUAUGGGUUCAACCAGGUGAUAGUUGAGAGAAAGAGCUGUUCUAUGGGUUCAACCAGGUGAUAGUUGAGAGAAAGAGCUGUUCUAUGGGUUCAACCAGGUGAUGUAGUGAGAGAAAGAGCUGUUCUAUGGGGUUCAACCAGGUAAUAGUUGAGAGAAAUAGCUGUUCUAUGGGUUCAAUCAGGUGAUAGUUGAGAGAAAGAGCUGUUCUAUGGGUUCAACCAGGUGAUAGUUGAGAGAAAGAGCUGUUCUAUGGGGUUCAACCAGGUGAUAGUUGAGAGAAAGAGCUGUUCUAUGGGGUUCAACCAGGUGAUAGUUGAGAGAAAGAGCUGUUCUAUGGGUUCAACCAGGUGAUAGUUGAGAGAAAGAGCUGUUCUAUGGGUUCAACCAGGUGAUGUAGUGAGAGAAAGAGCUGUUCUAUGGGUUCAACCAGGUGAUGUAGUGAGAGAAAGAGCUUUUCUAUGGGUUCAACCAGGUGAUGUAGUGAGAGAAAGCGCUGUUCUAUGGGUUCAACCAGGUGAUGUGGUGAGAGAAAGAGCUGUUCUAUGGGUUCAACCAGGUGAUAGUUGAGAGAAAGAGCUGUUCUAUGGGUUCAACCAGGUGAUAGUUGAGGAAAAAGGGCUGUUCUAUGGGUUCAACCAGGUGAUGUAGUUAGAUAAAGAGCUGUUCUAUGGGUUCAACCAGGUGAUAGUUGAGAGAAAGAGCUGUUCUGUGGGUUCAACCAGGUGAUAGUUGAGAGAAAGAGCUGUUCAACCAGGUGAUAGUUGAGAGAAAGAGCUGUUCUAUUGGGUUCAACCAGGUGAUAGUUGAGAGAAAGAGCUGUUCUAUGGGUUCAACCAGGUGAUGUAGUGAGAGAAAGAGCUGUUCUAUGGGUUCAACCAGGUGAUAGUUGAGAGAAAGAGCUGUUCUAUGGGUUCAACCAAGUGAUAGUUGAGAGAAAGAGCUGUUCUAUGGGUUCAACCAGGUGAUGUAGUGAGAGAAAGAGCUGUUCUAUGGGUUCAACCAGGUGAUGUAGUGAGAGAAAGAGAUGUUCAAAUGUGGACCUAGAAGGCAGAGACAAGCCAACCCCCGAUAUCAUUUGGGGGCCUUUAAGGGGGUACAUUAGGGGAGAGAUAGUCCAACCCCCGAUAUCAUUUGGGAGGCCUUUAAGGGGGUACAUUAGGGGAGAGAUAAUCCAACCCCCGUUAUCAUUAGGGGAGGCCUUUAAGGGGGUACAUUAGGGGAGAGAUAAUCCAACCCCCGUUAUCAUUAGGGGAGGCCUUUAAGGGGGUACAUUAGGGGAGAGAUAAUCUCAUACUCAACUAAAGUUACAUCUGAUUUAGAAAUUUAAAUGAAAUAAAAAGACCAAAUAAAUCACUAUUUUAACAAAAAUCUUUACAAGGUUAAGAAGAAAAUUAUAUUUCGGGAAUUUAAGCAGGAAUACGAGCUUUUCCUUUUCAAGAGACAAC